Molecule: long non-coding RNA, 615 nt
Organism: Drosophila miranda
Lineage: Eukaryota; Metazoa; Arthropoda; Insecta; Diptera; Drosophilidae
Exons: 2
Source: RefSeq, a predicted model, not a curated record
AAGAGUUUCAUUUGUGUUACGAUAAAGAUCAAAACAAAAGCAAAAUUGUAUUCCAUUUUUAUCUGUAAAAACCUUCUAUUGUUUCCGAAUCGUGGUGACAUAUCUGUCUAAAUCUUUUCUGAAUUUCCUCAACUAUGGGCAACCAAUUUUCCCAUCAAGUCGAAGAGACUCCGGCUCCGGCCGAAACAUUUGCAACUGUUGAACCAAAUCCCGUCCCAGAGACUGUAUCUGCUUCUGGUGAUAAAAAAGAGGCCGUCGAGGAGACUGUAUCGGCGUCUGGUGACAAAAAAGGCAACUGCGGGGCAUGUUGUGCCUGUCCCGAGGCCAAGCAGGCACGUGACCAGUGCUUUGUGGAGCACGGAGCAGAGCACUGCCUGGGCGUGAUCGAUGCAUACAAGAAGUGCAUGCGCGAGGCAGGCUUCAAUAUCUAAACAAAACAUAGCCCCCUCUCCAGAUAACUUCAUAUAUUGAUCCAAAUACAUUGAAAGAAAGAACACACUAUCAUCUAAAAGAGAAGCUUCGCUGAAAGAAACCCCCUAAAUACCAAUCGUCAUGGAAUUUUAAAGAAUAUCCAUCUAAAUAUUCGAAAUAAAUUAUCCUUUCCGAGCCAAAAUA